GAUAGCGGAUAGUACCGUGAGGGAAUGGUGAAAAGUACCGCGGGAGCGGAGUGAAAUAGUACCUGAAACCGUGUGCCUACAAGCCGUGGGAGCGUCGCUGUAUGUGCUUGCACAUGCAGUCGUGACUGCGUGCCUUUUGAAGAAUGAGCCUGCGAGUUAGCGGUGUGUAGCGAGGUUAACCCGUGUGGGGAAGCCGUAGCGAAAGCGAGUCCGAAUA
Molecule: ribosomal RNA, 217 nt
Filed under: Streptomyces sp. WM6372
Lineage: Bacteria; Bacillati; Actinomycetota; Actinomycetes; Kitasatosporales; Streptomycetaceae
Also listed under: 5 other names
Description: partial 23S ribosomal RNA
Rfam family: Bacterial large subunit ribosomal RNA
Source: RNAcentral